ACGCAAACGGUGUUCAUGCGUGGCAUGAAGCCGCGAAAGCAGGGAUGCGCAAUACCUGCUUUCCGCCAUUUGCGC
This 75-nucleotide non-coding RNA is filed under the name unclassified sequences. The record is from Rfam.